Molecule: small RNA, 76 nt
Filed under: Xanthomonas oryzae
Lineage: Bacteria; Pseudomonadati; Pseudomonadota; Gammaproteobacteria; Lysobacterales; Lysobacteraceae
Also listed under: 2 other names
Description: sX9 sRNA
Rfam family: Xanthomonas sRNA sX9
Source: RNAcentral
AUGUGCCACUCGUACACGCGGUUCUGAGCGUACCGCCCGCACCCGCCUGGCGACCGCUCGCUACGUUUUGUCAGCG